UUCUAUUGUGUUUUUUUAUUAAUUAACUUACUAAUUUGCCGUACUACUGGUGCUGUUGCUAUGGUAAGUCAGCUAUCAUUUAAUAGUACUCAAAUUUUUUGAAUUUUUUCCAAAAUUCUCUAACAAUAUUCUUAUUUGUGUUACAGUUAAAGCUUAGCAAGCCAAACCCAGAUGACUUGGGACAUGCUGAUUCAGUUUCAGUAGAAGAAAUUGGUGGUGCUAGGGUCACUGUUGUGAAGAAUGAAGAAGGUGGGAACUCCGUAACCACUGUUUUAUUGCGAGGAACCACAUAUAGCAUUUUAGAUGACAUUGAAAGAGCAGUUGAUGAUGAAGUAAAUACUUACAAGGCUAUGUGCAGGGAUAGCCGAAUGGUUCCUGGUGCAGCUGCUACUGAAGUUGAAUUAUCUAAGAGAGUGAAAGAGUAUUCAUUUAAAGAAAUAGGGUAAUUUAUUUGUUUCCACUUUUUUUUUUCCCAGUUUUUGUUUGUCUUGUUCCCCAUAACCUAACUCUAAACACAUUUCCCACUUCCAACUUAGAAAGAAAGAGAAUCUUUGGGAGAAUAAGAGGAAUAGCAUGGGCUUCAUAAAGGACCUCUAACAGCCAUAUUCACAUUCUACUUGUUAAUUUGGAUGCCAUACUUGAUGCCCUGUUGGUUACC
Long non-coding RNA from Humulus lupulus (European hop), 658 nucleotides. RefSeq lists it as uncharacterized. The record is from RefSeq and is a predicted model, not a curated record. NCBI's taxonomy places the organism in Eukaryota, Viridiplantae, Streptophyta, Magnoliopsida, Rosales, Cannabaceae. The transcript is spliced from 3 exons.